Molecule: long non-coding RNA, 366 nt
Filed under: Physcomitrium patens
Lineage: Eukaryota; Viridiplantae; Streptophyta; Bryopsida; Funariales; Funariaceae
Description: long non-coding RNA (PPAT_LNC011536)
Source: RNAcentral
UUAGAAUAAUUACAAAUAUAUCUUAAAUAAAUCUCAAUGAAGUCCUAAUUUAAUCCUAAUUAAAAUUCUAAUGGAUUCCAAUCAAAUCCUAAGCCAAAUCCUAAAUCUUAAAUCAAAUCCUGAAUAAAUCUUAAAUCAAAUCCUGAAUAAAUCUUAAAUCCUAAAUCAAAUCCUAAAAAAAUCCUAAAUUUUAAACCAAAUCCUAAACAAUUCUUAAAUCCUAAAUUCUAAAUUCUAAACCAAAUCCUAAAUAAUUCUUAAAUCCUAAAUCCUAAAUCAAAUCCUAAAUAAAUCCUAAAUCCUAAAUCAAACCUUAAACUAAAUUCUAAACAAACCUUAAAUCCUAAACAAAACUCUAGUCAAAUC